This 300-nucleotide long non-coding RNA is filed under the name Anser brachyrhynchus (Pink-footed goose). RNAcentral describes it as "lncRNA (ENSABRG00000011028.1)". The record is from RNAcentral. Lineage: Eukaryota; Metazoa; Chordata; Aves; Anseriformes; Anatidae.
GUCCAUCAUUAAAUCUGAACCAGACAGAUCUGAAUUUGUUCUUCAGCUGGGCACAGCAACCCAGAGAGACAUCAUGGUUACCGAGGGUCACUGAUGCUUGAAGAUCUCUUCAAACAAGAACAAAGAAGCCAAGAAUCAGUGGACGUGGUGUCCUGGUACUUUUGCUCUGGAACUUCUGAUACUCACCCAGUGGCUCCUCAUCUCUUCAGAUGUCACACACACUGUGGCAGUUGUGUCCUGGUUUCAGCUAGCAUAAAGUUAAUUUUCUUCGGUGGCUGCUCUGUGCUGGUAGUGCUGUAG